UUGAAGUUGUGGCUUUUCCCUUCAAAUGACAGUUACAAAAGGCGCUGAGAAGAAUUUGGGUUUCAUUUGCUUCCUGUGUGAAGAUGAUGUAUGGUCUGACUGCCUUCCCAUUGCCCAGUGGUUGAAGUCAAUCCUUGAAAAAAAUCCGUGAAGGUUCCUUUUUGGCCUUGAAUAAUUUAAGAUUCUGGUUAACUUGUGCCUAUAUGUGGGUGUAACCUACCAUCUGGUGGUCAUUCUGUCAAUGUAACUGGAAAAAUUAAAGCUGGUUUUCUCAAAACCUUGGGCUGCUUCUCUUGAGUUUCAUCAUGUGAUACUGAGUUCCUGUUGGAGUUCCUGACUUCCUCAAUGAGAGCCUGUCAUGUGCAAGUGGGAGCUGAAACCACCUCUUUCUUCCCCUAUGCUGCUUCUGGUCAUGGAGUUUAUCACAGUAGCAGAAAGCAAACUAGAACUGGUGAAGGAUGUGAGAAAGAACCUUCAUCUGGUGAUGGAUGGAGAUAGAGACAGAGACCCACACUGGAGCACUGGACUGAGCUCCCAAGGUCCCAAUGAGAACCAGAUGGAGGGAGAACACGAGCAAGGAUGUCAGGACCACGGGGGGUGCACCCACCCACUGAGACAGUGGGGCUGAUCUAUUGGGAGCUCACCAAAGCCAGCUGGACUGUGACUGAAACAGCAUGGGAUAAAACCGGACUCUCUGAUCAUGGCGAACAAUGAGGACUGAUGAGAAGCCAAGGUCAAUGGCAAGGGGUUUUGAUCCUACUUCAUGUUCUGGCUUGGUGGGAGCCUAGCCAGUUUGGAUGUUCACCUUCCUAGACAUGGACGGAGGGGGGAGGACCUUGGACUUUCCACAGGGCAGGGAACCAUGACUGCUCUUUGGAUAGGAGAGGGAGGGGGAGAGGAGUGGGGGGAGGGGGAGGAGAGAGGGGGGAGGGGGAGAAGAGUGGGGGGAGGGGGAGGGAAAUGGGAGGCUGGGAGGAGGCGGAAACUUUUUUUUUCUUAUUCUCAAUAAAAUAAAAAAAAAAGAAUAGGCUACAAGGUAAGGUUGAGAGCACUGCCUGCUCUUCCAGAGGUCCUGAGUUCAAUUCCCAGCAACCACAUGGUGGCUCACAGCCAUCUGUAAUGAGAACUGGCACCCCUUCUGGCUUGCGGGCACACAUGGAAGAAAUGCUGUACACCUAAAUAAAUAAAUAAAUAUUAAAAAAAAGAAAAAAAAGAAAAAAAAAACUAGUCUCACGCUGAGUAUUUCAUGUAGAUGCACUG
Molecule: long non-coding RNA, 1260 nt
Organism: Alexandromys fortis (reed vole)
Lineage: Eukaryota; Metazoa; Chordata; Mammalia; Rodentia; Cricetidae
Exons: 6
Source: RefSeq, a predicted model, not a curated record